AGCCGUGGGGUAAGCACAGAGCGAACUAUUCUUUCGCCUUUUACUAAAGAAUACCGUGUGCUCUCCUCCUUUAACGGCAUACGCCAAUUUUUGAAGGGUUUCUCCCUAAAGGAGAGGC
Molecule: small nuclear RNA, 118 nt
Organism: Prosopis cineraria
Lineage: Eukaryota; Viridiplantae; Streptophyta; Magnoliopsida; Fabales; Fabaceae
Product: U5 spliceosomal RNA
Exons: 1
Source: RefSeq, a predicted model, not a curated record